Molecule: long non-coding RNA, 952 nt
Organism: Sardina pilchardus (European sardine)
Lineage: Eukaryota; Metazoa; Chordata; Actinopteri; Clupeiformes; Clupeidae
Exons: 4
Source: RefSeq, a predicted model, not a curated record
UAUACCUGACGAUCUCUUUCAAGUCAUUUAAAUAAAACAUGGAUAUCAUGGUUAGUAUUUGUAGAGUCUGUAAAUGUGGUCCCUUGCUUGGUUUGUCUGAAAAUUAAGUGGAAAUAUCCUUUAGAAGUGUUUGUACUUUAGGCGCUAGUUAGCAUGUGCCAGGUGUCAUACCACUGCAGUAAUCAUCUCACUAAACACGUCUUUUCAUAUCCAAUCUGUUCAACAGAGUUUACCAGUCAGACCACUACACCUUUGCCAGCACCACCACCCAGCAAGCUUCAUCAACUCCUGCCAUGCCGAGUUUACCAGUCAGACCUACACCUCCGUCAAAUUCGCUCACAGCGCUGCCAAUAACACCCCAGCAAGAUUUUUACAGACUUGUUCUGCAGCACUUCCGAACAAUUGAGGAGGAGCUGGGGUAAAGCAGCAGGUGGCUGUGAACACAUCUAUGCUGCAGAAGCUAGGUGGUGGUGGUGUGGCGGAUCUUGGCCUCGUGGAGGACAACAACAGGCCAUUGAGUAAUGUUGAGGACCUGGACGAGUUGGAGAGGCGGCUUGCAUCCGAUGCGGACCUGAAAAAUCAACUGGUGAACAUACUUGGGAGGGAAAACCACCGAGAUGCUGUUAAGAGGAUGCUGGGCCGGGCUUUGAGGAGGUCCCUGGCGCUCCAAAUUAAUUAGACUGGUGCAGCAGGAAAGGUGGCUUUUAAGUCCUUACACCUGAAGAGUGUGUUGCAUAUUAAUAUCAUUAUUAAAAAUAAUUUUAAUAAAUUGUUUAAGCAUGUAGAAGAAAUAAAGCAUGUAAAUGAGCAUGUAAAAGAAAUAAAUAAACAAAAUGUAUUGAACCUAAUACUAUGUGUGGUGAGUCUGUGUGAUAGUUGCUGAGGAUAAAUGUUUUUAUAUUGGAUUAUUAAAUUACAGAAUACAUUUAUAGGUUUCUCAUCAGCAGGCACU